GGGGGAAAAAUUAAUAAAAUAUAAAUAAUAAAAAAAUUUUUAUAAUAUAUAUAUAAUGGGGGUUAAAGUAUUAUUAUAGAAAAAAUUGAAAAAUUUAUAGUUAAAUAGUAUUGUAAAAGAAUUUUGAAAUAAAAAUUAAAUAUUAAAUUUUUAUAAAGUAAAUUUAAUUUAUUGUAUCUUGUGUAUCAGAGUUUAUUAAUAAAAUAUUAUAAUUAAAAAUUUCUCGAAUUUUAAAGAGUUAAUUAAUUAAAAAAGUUAAUGUUGAAUAAUUAUUUUUAAUAAUUAAUUGGAAAUGAAAUGUUAAUCGUUUUAAAAAUAUAUCUAGUUUUUUUAGAAAUAAAUUUAAUUUAAAAUAAUAUUUUUUUAAUUUAUUUUAUUAUUAAAAUAUUAAAAUUAUUAUUUAAUAUUUUAAGGGAUAAGCUUUAAAAUAAAAUUUUAUAAUAAAUUAUUAAUUAUAAUUAAAUUUUUAGAAUUUAUAUUGUUAAAUAAAUUAUAAUUUUUUAUAAAUAAUUUAAUUUAUAAAAUAAAAUUUUAUAGAAGAAAUUUAAUUUUUUAUAAAAAAAUAAUUUUUAAUAAUUAAAAAUAAUAUAUAAUGAUAAAAUUAGUAUAUGAAUAAAUUUAAAUAAUAAAUAUUAAAAUUUAAAAAUUUAAAUAAAGGAAUUCGGCAAAAAUUUAUAUUCACUUGUUUAUCAAAAACAUGUCUUUUUGUAAUAAUUUAAAGUUUAAUCUGCCCCCUGAUAUUAUUAAAGGGCUGCAGUAUUUUGACUGUACAAAGGUAGCAUAAUCAUUUGUCUUUUAAUUGGUGACUUGUAUGAAAGAUUGAAUGAAAUAUGAACUGUCUCAAUUUAAUUUAUAAAAUUUAAUUUUUUAGUCAAAAAGCUAAAAUAAAUUUAAAAGACGAGAAGGCCCUAUAGAGUUUUAUAAUUAUUUUAAUUAUAAUAAAAUAUAAAUUUUUUAAUUAAAAUUAAUAUAAUUAUUUUGUUGGGGGGACAAAAAAAUUAAAUUAACUUUUUUUAAAAAAUUUCCAUUAAUUUAUGAUUUUAUGAUCCAUUUUUAGUGAUUAAAAGAAAAAAUUACCUUAGGGAUAACAGCGUAAUUUUUUUUUUUAGAUCAAAUAAAAAAAAAAGUUUGCGACCUCGAUGUUGGAUUAAGAUAAAAUUUAAAUGCAAAAGUUUAAAAUUUUUGAUCUGUUCGAUCAUUAAAAUCUUACAUGAUCUGAGUUCAAACCGGUGUAAGCCAGGUUGGUUUCUAUCUUUAAUUAAAAAUAAUAUUUUAGUACGAAAGGAAUAAAUAUUGAAAAUAAUUUUAUAUAAAAUGAAUUUUAUUAAUUAUGAUUAU
This 1338-nucleotide ribosomal RNA is filed under the name Pachliopta aristolochiae. RNAcentral describes it as "16S ribosomal RNA". The stretch from base 1084 to 1243 matches the Rfam family "Eukaryotic large subunit ribosomal RNA", at positions 2825 to 2984 of the family's 3401-position model. The record is from RNAcentral. Lineage: Eukaryota; Metazoa; Arthropoda; Insecta; Lepidoptera; Papilionidae.